RNAcentral lists this ribosomal RNA (800 nucleotides) under uncultured bacterium. RNAcentral describes it as "bacterial SSU rRNA". It matches the Rfam family "Bacterial small subunit ribosomal RNA", at positions 1 to 769 of the family's 1533-position model. The record is from RNAcentral.
AAGUCGUAACAAGGUAACCAGUAGAGUUUGAUCCUGGCUCAGGAAGUCGUAACAAGGUAACCACUAGAGUUUGAUCCUGGCUCAGGAUGAACGCUGGCGGUGUGCCUUAGGCAUGCAAGUCGAGCGGUAACAGGUCUAGCUUGCUAGAUGCUGACGAGCGGCAGACGGGUGAGUAACACGUAGGAAUCUACCGAGUAGUGGGGAAUAGCUCAGCGAAAGUUGGGGUAAUACCGCAUACGCCCUCCGGGGGAAAGUAUUUAUACGCUAUUCGAGGAGCCUGCGGGCUAUCAGUUUGUUGGUGGGGUAAUGGCCUACCAAGACUAUGACGGCUAGCCGAUGUGAGAGCAUGAUCGGCCACAAGGCUACUGAGACACGGAGCCUACACCUACGGGUGGCAGCAACCGGGAAUAUUGCGCAAUGGACGAAAGUCUGACGCAGCGACACCGCGUGUGGGAAGACGCUUUUCGGAGUGUAAACCACUGUGGCGAGGGAGGAAGUUCUGACAGUACCUCGCUAGAAAGCACCAGCUAACCACGUGCCAGAAGCUUCGGUAAUACGUGGGGUGCAAGCGUUAUCCGGAUUUACUGGGUGUAAAGGGUCCGUCGGCGUCCCUGUUAGUCACUUGUUUAAGCCUGAGGCUCAACUUCAGAAAGGCAAGUGAUACUGCAGGGAUAGAGUCUGUUCGAGGAAACUAGAAUUCUUGGUGGAGGGGUGAAAUCCGUAGAUAUCAAGAGGAAUACCAUGCGCGAAGGCAGGUUUCUAGGACAUGACUGACGCUCAGGGACGAAAGCUUGGGUAGC